UACGUAGGGUGCGAGCGUUGUCCGGAAUUACUGGGCGUAAAGAGCUCGUAGGUGGUUUGUCGCGUUGUUCGUGAAAACUCACGGCUUAACUGUGAGCGUGCGGGCGAUACGGGCAGACUGGAGUACUGCAGGGGAGACUGGAAUUCCUGGUGUAGCGGUGGAAUGCGCAGAUAUCAGGAGGAACACCGGUGGCGAAGGCGGGUCUCUGGGCAGUAACUGACGCUGAGGAGCGAAAGCGUGGGGGAGCGAACGGG
RNAcentral lists this ribosomal RNA (254 nucleotides) under uncultured bacterium. RNAcentral describes it as "partial 16S ribosomal RNA". It matches the Rfam family "Bacterial small subunit ribosomal RNA", at positions 524 to 776 of the family's 1533-position model. The record is from RNAcentral.